Molecule: transfer-messenger RNA, 360 nt
Filed under: Oxalobacter vibrioformis
Lineage: Bacteria; Pseudomonadati; Pseudomonadota; Betaproteobacteria; Burkholderiales; Oxalobacteraceae
Rfam family: transfer-messenger RNA
About the family: Bacterial tmRNA, also known as 10Sa RNA or SsrA, is named for its dual tRNA and mRNA-like properties. Its role is to liberate the mRNA from a stalled ribosome. To accomplish this part of the tmRNA is used as a reading frame that ends in a translation stop signal.
Source: Rfam by way of RNAcentral
GGGGGCGACUUGGAUUCGACAGGGGUUGCAAAGCAGAACAGGGCAUAUCGAGUACUGGUUACCUCGUAAAUCUAUCCAGAAAAAAAUAACUGCUAACGAUAAUAGUUACGCAUUAGCCGCUUAAUACCGGCUUUCCCUGCACCAUCUUGUUCCUGGGGUGGGCUUUUCGGAGCAGCAGGGUCAUAUACAGGAAACCGCCUUAAGUCGGGUUACUUGGCUUGGGGUUAAACUUAAGGUAACUCAUCCGAUCGCAGCGUGUGCGUCCGCGUCGAAAGGAUUAAAUCAAAUGACUGCACUAAGUAUGUAGAACUGUCUGUAGAGUGCUUCUGGACGCGGGUUCGAAACCCGCCGCCUCCACCA